AUCCAAACUGUGUCAAAAUGUGGAAGCUCACUCUAACUGCAGGUCUCUGUUUGAUCAUCGCCAGCUUGGGUGUACCUGGCUUUGCGAGAAAUCUUCGAGUUUACAAAACAUCACAUGGAAACCCUUGUUAUGGAAGACCAGAUGGGCUGUACCCCAACCCCAAUGAUCAGCACUCGUAUUACAACUGUGUUUGGGGACGCACCUACAUCCAAAAGUGCCCAGAACAUUUGGUGUAUAGGCAUUCCAUAACUGCUUGUUACUAUCCUGGAUCACCUGUAACAGGCAGUUCAUCUCAUGAAAUCUGUGAUCCCAUGACUACAACCAGUACUCCCACCAUGACUCCCA
Molecule: long non-coding RNA, 345 nt
Organism: Gasterosteus aculeatus aculeatus (three-spined stickleback)
Lineage: Eukaryota; Metazoa; Chordata; Actinopteri; Perciformes; Gasterosteidae
Source: RefSeq, a predicted model, not a curated record